This is a long non-coding RNA of Vicia villosa (hairy vetch), 3073 nucleotides long. RefSeq lists it as uncharacterized. Lineage: Eukaryota; Viridiplantae; Streptophyta; Magnoliopsida; Fabales; Fabaceae. The record is from RefSeq and is a predicted model, not a curated record. The transcript is spliced from 3 exons.
AUAAUAUAAGAAAGGAAAUGGUUGUGGAAAACACCAAUUUAACCUUUUGUCUUUGCCCUCCACCUCAUCAAAUUGGGGGCAUUUUGUGUCUAAAAUUUACUUUUUGCAACCAAUAUGUACUAUUAGUUUGAAAUCAAUUAUACUUACUAUCAUUUGUGUACAAUUUUUAAAAACAUGUUGUCUUAUUAGUUCAUGUAGAACAAUAUGUUAACCGAAGAAGUACUUUUUUUGAAACUCCAAAUACUGUUUGCGUGUACAGUACCUCACUGCCCCCAAGACCUCACUUUUCUGUUGUAGAAACUCAGCAAAUACAAACACACAACCUCCAUUCUCUCUCAUCAGAACCACAUAUCUCUCUUCUCAUUUCUCAUUCUUCAACUCAACCCUUAGCUUUGUUCUUCUUCUUCUACUACUGUUGAGCGCUGAGGACGAUGAUGAACACGAUGAUGGUGAUGUUGAUGUAGUUGGGUUCGUGAUGAACGAUGUUGAACGAUUUUAGAUGAAUGGGUUGAGUUGGUUGAAGAUCUAUGAAGAUGAUGACGAAAGCUAUGAAUCUGAAUCUCGGGUUUGUAAACAAGUAGCAGCAACACCAAUAAUAUUAGUAAGUACACAUCCUUACUUUCUUACUUCCUUUUCAUGGUUGUUUUAAUUUUCAAUUAUAUCUAGAUAAAUGGUUUUUCAUUGUUUUUUCUUACUUAUUAAAUAGAGUAACUUAACUUACUUUGUUAUCAUGGUGAUGGUUUUUGUCUCAACUUUCAAGCUCUUUGGUGAUGGUUUUUGUCUCAACUUUCAAGCUCUUUGUUUAUGGUGGGUUAAGAAGUAUUAUGGUUUUAUUUCACAUUGUGGGUUUAAAUUUCAUGUUUUUCCUACAUUUCUAUGAGUUUAUUCAUUCCAUGUUAUGAGUUUUACUUACAUUUUUUGGUUUAAUCUUAUGUUUGGCUGGGUUUUUUUGGAAUGUUAUGGGUUUUAUUUUACAUUGUGGGUUAUUUAUUUCAUUGUUUAAUGGGUUUCAAAACUUCUUUUUUAAGUGUGGUUUCUACUUUGUAGGUUUAUUUUAUGUCACUGCAACUUUUUUGUUUUACUUAAUUACAACUCACUAAGAUAUUGUUUCUUUCACUUUAUUAUUUGAUUUCUUUCAAACCUUAUAUUAGCCUGUUUUAAUUUUGGUUCAUUAUAGUUUCUCUAAUCAUAACUCUUGUGUUAAGUAGAUGUCAAGGCCAAUACUAACCAAAGAUUUUUUAAAAUAGAGUCAAAUAUGUGAUGGAUUUUGAAUGCAAUUGGUGUGGAUAUGGUGUGGUUACAGUUACAAAAUUAGGUUCCAACCAAUAAUAAUAUUAUUCUUUUCAAUUAAUCAACUUACAUAUCUCUCAUGAGAAUGAUUUUAAUUGAUCUUUAAGGUGAUUUUAACAUCACUAUGCUUUUGCAUUAACAUCACAAAUUUUAUUUGUUAUGCUAAAGGGAUGAUUAACUCUGAUUAAUAUUUUUAACACGUGAUUAGUAUACAUAUAAAUAAGUAUUGUGUUGAUGUUGUUAUUGUGUAUAGUGAUGAAGAUGAAACUGAGAUCAUUUUUUGGUUUUUUGGAUUGGUUGCUGGAGAAGAGUGAAAUUGAAGUCAUUCGUGAGUAACUCGAGAGCAUUUAGGUGGCAGCAGUUAAUAGAUAUUUCUAUACAGAUGCCUCUGAAGGUAUUUCAAGAUAAAGAUGGAUUACCGAGAAUUGUAUUGAUUGGUUCAAAUGGUUUUUCAGCUGAGUUUCAUUCCGGUGUUCCUCUAUGGAUGCCAGAUUUUUUCAUGGAAGAAUCAAAGGAAAGAAGAAUUGUUUUUUAUUAGCAGCAAGGUAAAAAAUAUAAUCGAAUUCUAAAAUAGAAUCAAAAUCAAAAAAAUAGAAUUGUUUGAUCUUUUGAUUGGCCAGUUGAUCGAUUAUGACAUUUACAUCUGCUGAUAUAUUUAAGGUUUUUUAUUUAUUUUUUAAAUAUAUUUCUUUGUUUCCCUGUUAGUUGUGUUCUCAAAUAUAUUUGUCUCUAACUUUGUUUUUUUUCUAUUGUUAGGUAUUAAAAGAAAUCUGUAGAAACUUUGUAAUUUUGUCUCAGAUGCCUUGCUUGCUAUUCACCACAAAGUCUUAUAUUUUUAAAUUAAUUUUAUGAAAAUCACAGGUGUCGGUGUUGACGCAUACACUUUUUUUUUCAUGUUCAUCAGUUUUUUAUUUAUUGAAUUACAUGAUUCCAAUAUUUAGUAUUGUGAUGUGUGAUUGCAGAGACAAAAAUUCUUGAGCCUUGGGAAAAUUAGGGAUGUGUGAUUGCAGAGAAACUUUGAAAGUCUAUUGAUUUCUUUACCUAUUAUAAAUUUAUAAUAUGUUAUUACAUAACAUGUAAGAGUGUUUUUGGAACAGUGUUAGUACGCAUAUCUAAUAAUAUAUUACUCUGCACACUCGCGUCACACUCAAUAUGACUUUUCUCUUCAACUUUUGACAGAACUGCAUAUAUUAUACAUAUUUUAUUUUUAACAAGUCUUAUAACAAUUCUCAAAGGUCCAGGUGUUCCAUGUAUCCCUAUUACAAUAAAUGUAUUUUUUUACAUAGCUCCAGUAUUAAUUAAAUAAGUUUUUAUAACGCAUGGGUAUCCUGGUUUUGGAAUAUAAAUUCUUAUAAUUAUUAGGGUCCUUUUAAGAUCCUUUUAUCGAAGCAUCAUACCAUAAAAGGAUCUUAAAAUGUAGAAAUGGGGGUAUAAAGAAGGAAAGUCACUUUUUGGCUUUGGAUAUGAUUUAAAAGUAUAUUAUUUAUCAUAAAUGAUAAAUCAAUAGCUUUCAUGGAUAUUUAAAUCCGACAUUCAUAGUCAUUUAAUUUUAUAGUUAACCUAAAUAAAUUAUACUAAAUAGGCACUUUAAAUAAAUAAUUUAUAAUCGUUUUUAAUUUAACAAGAUAUAAUGCUUUAAAACAAUUUCUAUAGUUAAAUAAAUAUUUUUAUGUAUAUCACUAAUUGAGAUGUAUACAAGAAAACUGUGACAUUGACACAAAUACGAUUAAAAUAAAUUAUUAAUAAAUCGGUUAAUAAUAAUUUUAUGGGUUAAAAAUGAUUU